AUUGAACGCUGGCGGCGUGCCUAACACAUGCAAGUCGAGCGGCAGCGGGCCCGCAAGGGUGCCGGCGAGCGGCGGACGGGUGAGCAAUACAUAGGAAUCUGCCUCGGAGCGGGGGAUAGCCAGGGGAAACCCUGAUUAAUACCGCAUGAUGUCGAGAGACCAACGUGGGGGACCGUAAGGCCUCCCACUCUGAGAUGAGCCCAUGUCGGAUUAGCUAGGUGGCGGGGUAACGGCCCACCAAGGCGACGAUCCGUAGCUGGUCUGAGAGGACGAUCAGCCACACCGGAACUGAGACACGGUCCGGACUCCUACGGGAGGCAGCAGUGGGGAAUAUUGGACAAUGGGCGAAAGCCUGAUCCAGCGACGCCGCGUGGGUGAAGAAGGCCUUCGGGUUGUAAAGCCCUUUAAGCCGGGACGAAAAAAUCGGCGAUAACAUCGCCGGUCUUGACGGUACCGGAAGAAUAAGCACCGGCUAACUCUGUGCCAGCCGCCGCCGUAA
This 499-nucleotide ribosomal RNA is filed under the name uncultured bacterium. RNAcentral's name for it is "partial 16S ribosomal RNA". It matches the Rfam family "Bacterial small subunit ribosomal RNA", at positions 29 to 523 of the family's 1533-position model. The record is from RNAcentral.